UUUACGGGAGGCAGCAGUGGGGAAUCUUGCGCAAUGGGCGAAAGCCUGACGCAGCCACGCCGCGUGAGGGAUGAAGGCUUUCGGGUUGUAAACCUCUUUCAGCAGGGACGAAAAUGACGGUACCUGCAGAAGAAGCUCCGGCCAACUACGUGCCAGCAGCCGCGGUAAU
This 169-nucleotide ribosomal RNA is filed under the name uncultured bacterium. RNAcentral's name for it is "partial 16S ribosomal RNA". It matches the Rfam family "Bacterial small subunit ribosomal RNA", at positions 338 to 524 of the family's 1533-position model. The record is from RNAcentral.